This 506-nucleotide ribosomal RNA is filed under the name uncultured bacterium. RNAcentral describes it as "partial 16S ribosomal RNA". It matches the Rfam family "Bacterial small subunit ribosomal RNA", at positions 29 to 523 of the family's 1533-position model. The record is from RNAcentral.
AGUGAACGCUGGCGGUAGGCCUAACACAUGCAAGUCGAACGGCAGCACAGGAGAGCUUGCUCUCUGGGUGGCGAGUGGCGGACGGGUGAGGAAUACAUCGGAAUCUACUCUGUCGUGGGGGAUAACGUAGGGAAACUUACGCUAAUACCGCAUACGACCUACGGGUGAAAGCAGGGGACCUUCGGGCCUCGCGCGAUUGAAUGAGCCGAUGUCGGAUUAGCUAGUUGGCGGGGUAAAGGCCCACCAAGGCGACGAUCCGUAGCUGGUCUGAGAGGAUGAUCAGCCACACUGGAACUGAGACACGGUCCAGACCCCUACGGGAGGCAGCAGUGGGGAAUAUUGGACAAUGGGCGCAAGCCUGAUCCAGCCAUACCGCGUGGGUGAAGAGGGCCUUCGGGUUGUAAAGCCCUUUUGUUGGGAAAGAAAUCCAGCUGGCUAAUACCCGGUUGGGAUGACGGUACCCAAAGAAUAAGCACCGGCUAACUUCGUGCCAGCCGCCGCAGUAA